RNAcentral lists this ribosomal RNA (316 nucleotides) under uncultured bacterium. RNAcentral's name for it is "partial 16S ribosomal RNA". It matches the Rfam family "Bacterial small subunit ribosomal RNA", at positions 355 to 686 of the family's 1533-position model. The record is from RNAcentral.
UGGGGAAUAUUGGACAAUGGGGGGCAACCCUGAUCCAGCAAUGCCGCGUGUGUGAAGAAGGUCUUCGGAUUGUAAAGCACUUUCGACGGGGACGAUGAUGACGGUACCCGUAGAAGAAGCCCCGGCUAACUUCGUGCCAGCAGCCGCGGUAAUACGAAGGGGGCUAGCGUUGCUCGGAAUGACUGGGCGUAAAGGGCGUGUAGGCGGUUUACACAGUCAGAUGUGAAAUCCCCGGGCUUAACCUGGGAGCUGCAUUUGAUACGUGUAGACUAGAGUGUGAGAGAGGGUUUGUGGAAUUCCCAGUGUAGAGGUGAAA